This 302-nucleotide unclassified non-coding RNA is filed under the name Hevea brasiliensis (rubber tree). Lineage: Eukaryota; Viridiplantae; Streptophyta; Magnoliopsida; Malpighiales; Euphorbiaceae. The record is from RNAcentral.
AUGACGUCGUCUGGACCGCUCGGAGACCCGGGAGAUGGCUUGUUCACUGUCAUAUCCCGCAUCACACCACCAACAACAACGUCGAACAGAAAGGAGCGGGCGGUCUAACGCUGGUUCUCAACGUGCAAUAAGGGGCAAUUAACAAAUUCAAGGAGAGCUUAAUGAAACACAUGAGCAAAGACAUGCAAAAGUGCAUCGACGAAUGCUUGCGCUGCUACCAAGUGUGUCUCGGUUCGGCCAUGACGCAUUGCCUCGAGACCGGCGGAAAACAUGUCGAGCCAGCGCAUUUCCGGUUGAUGAUG